GACGAACGCUGUCGGCGUGCUUAACACAUGCAAGUCGAACGGAAAGGCCCUGCUUUUGUGGGGUGCUCGAGUGGCGAACGGGUGAGUAACACGUGAGUAACCUGCCCUUGACUUUGGGAUAACUUCAGGAAACUGGGGCUAAUACCGGAUAGGAGCUCCUGCUGCAUGGUGGGGGUUGGAAAGUUUCGGCGGUUGGGGAUGGACUCGCGGCUUAUCAGCUUGUUGGUGGGGUAGUGGCUUACCAGGGCUUUGACGGGUAGCCGGCCUGAGAGGGUGACCGGCCACAUUGGGACUGAGAUACGGCCCAGACUCCUACGGGAGGCAGCAGUGGGGAAUAUUGCACAAUGGGCGGAAGCCUGAUGCAGCAACGCCGCGUGCGGGAUGACGGCCUUCGGGCUGUAAACCGCUUUCGCCUGUGACGAAGCGUGAGUGACGGUAAUGGGUAAAGAAGCACCGGCCAACUACGUGCCAGCAGCCGCGGUGAUACGUAGGGUGCGAGCGUUGUCCGGAUUUAUUGGGCGUAAAGGGCUCGUAGGUGGUUGAUCGCGUCGGAAGUGUAAUCUUGGGGCUUAACCCUGAGCGUGCUUUCGAUACGGGUUGACUUGAGGAAGGUAGGGGAGAAUGGAAUUCCUGGUGGAGCGGUGGAAUGCGCAGAUAUCAGGAGGAACACCAGUGGCGAAGGCGGUUCUCUGGGCCUUUCCUGACGCUGAGGAGCGAAAGCGUGGGGAGCGAACAGGCUUAGAUACCCUGGUAGUCCACGCUGUAAACGGUGGGUACUAGGUGUGGGGUCCAUUUCACGGGUUCCGUGCCGUAGCUAACGCUUUAAGUACCCCGCCUGGGGAGUACGGCCGCAAGGCUAAAACUCAAAGGAAUUGACGGGGCCCCGCACAAGCGGCGGAGCAUGCGGAUUAAUUCGAUGCAACGCGUAGAACCUUACCUGGGUUUGACAUGGAUCGGGAGUGCUCAGAGAUGGGUGUGCCUCUUUUGGGGUCGGUUCACAGGUGGUGCAUGCCUGUCGUCAGCUCGUGUCGUGAGAUGUUGGGUUAAGUCCCGCAACGAGCGCAACCCUUGUUCACUGUUGCCAGCACGUUAUGGUGGGGACUCAGUGGAGACCGCCGGGGUCAACUCGGAGGAAGGUGGGGAUGACGUCAAGUCAUCAUGCCCCUUAUGUCCAGGGCUUCACGCAUGCUACAAUGGCUGGUACAGAGAGUGGCGAGCCUGUGAGGGUGAGCGAAUCUCGGAAAGCCGGUCUCAGUUCGGAUUGGGGUCUGCAACUCGACCUCAUGAAGUCGGAGUCGCUAGUAAUCGCAGAUCAGCAACGCUGCGGUGAAUACGUUCCCGGG
Molecule: ribosomal RNA, 1343 nt
Filed under: uncultured bacterium
Lineage: Bacteria
Description: 16S ribosomal RNA
Rfam family: Bacterial small subunit ribosomal RNA
Source: RNAcentral